RNAcentral lists this long non-coding RNA (38195 nucleotides) under Lupinus angustifolius (narrow-leaved blue lupine). Its description in RNAcentral is "long non-coding RNA (LANG_LNC000934)". The record is from RNAcentral. Lineage: Eukaryota; Viridiplantae; Streptophyta; Magnoliopsida; Fabales; Fabaceae.
AGUUUCCUUUCUAUUUAACUUUAUUUUUUUGGGUAAGCCUAUGAGCAUUGAGAAGUGUGAGGGUUUGAUCAUGUUGUUUGGGCCUAUCAAAUGGAGAAAAACAUGUUUUUGUUUGUUCGUCCUAUCCAGGAUUCAUUUCUUGCCAGACAAUAGUUGAAAAGACUUAUCAUUUGUUUCAAGCGGUGCAGCUAUUUAAUUAUAGUAAUUAAUAAGAAACCGUAAUCUGCAAUUAUGCAUCCUAGUAUGUGUCUCACUGUUAUCACAGACUCAGUGAACAUGUUUCACGUUUAUUCAGGAAGAGAAACUUCAAAGGCUUCAAGAACAGCUGCAAGUACCUUAUGAUGAGACUAGCUCUGAUCAUCAAGUACUUAUUUUUUUCAUGCAGCUAUCUAGCUUUCUUAUUUAUUUAAUUUCUCUGAAUUCUUCCUCAGGACGCGUUUAGAAAAUUCAAUUCAUGAGUAGAGUAGAAUUCUUCCCAUUCAGAUUGUUUUAAGCUGGUAAUCAAAAUUACUUUCAAAAUUCUAGAAUUUUCCUGAGGCAUUUUCUUUUGUUUAGGGCGAUAAUGAUAUUUUCCUUAAACUAUGAUGAUGUUGGAAAGUUCUUUCAUUUAUGGUUGCAAUUUCUGUUUUUGGUAUGGUUAAUGACGUUCUUCACUUGAUUUUUACAAAGGUUUAAGCUCGAGAGAAAGAGAGGCAGAAAGAUAUGAUUUCUUUAUGCCAUUUCCGACCCUUUGUUAGUGAAAUGUCUCUCUUCUCUCUAGUUUUUCAUUCUUUGAAGUUAUUUAUAAUUCAUUUAUUAGACAGGAGUGGUAACUAUCAAAUUAUCCCAAAACCCUAAAAACCAAUUUUAUCAAGAUCACUUGGUUGCUUUUGUUAACCAUGUUAUUUCACUUGGUUUUUUCAAUGGUUGAAACUCUAGAUAGAGACAUAGAGGGAAAGUGAUUUCUUUAUGUCUUUCCCCCACCCUUUAUCACUGACACAUCUGCCUUCUUUCUUUCCCUGCAUUUUCAAUCUUUGUAUUUCUUUAUAAUUGAUGUAAGUAAAAAUGUUGUAUUUUUUGAGCCUAGAAAGACUAUCCCAAAAUCCCAAAAGUAUAUUGUGGCAACUAUUUCAUUCAUUUGUGUCGGUAAUGACAUUUUCCUAAUCCCAAUCUUGUUUAUUCAAGAAUGUUUGAUCUCGAUGAACUGAGAUUUUCAUUGGCUUUAUAAACCCAAGAGUUUGAUAUGGGCUGCGAAAACUGCAUAGUCCUUGCAAUAUGAAUUCUAGUUGCCUAUAAUUUGUAAAUCAGGAAGAGGCCCCGAUUUGUCGGAUCAAUAUGAAAUUCUUUAUUCACAAUGUAACAUCAGGAUGCUAGAAAAAUAAAGUUGAGCCUUUAGUUUCUUUAUGGUUACAUUAUCAUUGUUGAUUAGUGGAUGGGGUCUAAUAUAAUAUUGAACUAUCAUUUUCAGUGGAAAGUGACACGUUGAGAACUGUUAGGUUGGGAUUAGACUAUUUGUUUUCAAGUUGAGUUUGGAGUCCCCAUGCAUAAUGCCCCUUCCUUGAUUGUUCUAUUAUAUUAUCAUUAUGCGAUUUUUUAGGUGAUAAAUUAAAGAAACACAUUUUUAAAUAUAUAUUUUCUUUUGUUUUAUGUUAAAUAAAUAUAAAUGUAAAGAUGAAAAGAUAUUAUGCUUGCUUUGAGCCAUUAAAAUGUAAUUCUUACUGGAUCGACCUUCAAUUUUCCCUUUUACAUAAUUUUUUAACGUGUCAUUUGUUAGAUUAUGUGUUGCCAAACCUUGUGCUUAGGAGACUGUUGCUUAUGUAACAUAAGAGAAGAAUGUAGGUGACUCUGAUAAGCUAUAGUACCUUAGAUCAAUGCAAUUGUUAGUUGAAGGUAAUGCAUACAUUGCCUGGACCUCACUUUAUAUUUUUACAAGGUAUGUUCUAAAACCCUGGUUUGUGAUAAUUUUUUGGAUGGGCCGCAGCCAAUGGUUCAGGACAUUUUUACUUGUUUAUAGUGCAAUAAUACGUUAAAAUUGUGAGUUAUUCAAAAUCAACUAUGAAAAUGUUUUUGGACCAUUGGCCUAGUAAGUAGUAACAUCCAAUUUUCUCCUACAUUGGUUUAGUAUGGCUGUCAAAUCUCCAACCAUGACUUAUUUUAAAAGAUUAUAUUGCCAUUAUGUUGGGUUAUUCCCCAAAGCUUUAUUUAGCAUACAUGUUGGGGUAUACCCCAAAGCUUUAUUUAGCAUAUAAAUACUUUUUUUUAAACUGUUUCAGUACUCUUUCAAAUAUUGGAGCAUUGAGCAAUUUGAUGGCAGUCUCUUAUGGGCAGUAGUGUUUGGAAUCGGAGAAGAGUUCAAUACUAUUUUAUUUCAAAUAUGCUUAGGAUUAUUAACGAUCAUUUAGAAUCUGUCUCUCAAGUCAUUAGUUUUAGUAUUGUGUUGAGGGUGAGUGUUUGGAAUUGCAAAUGAAUAAUUUCUGAUUUGAAUUGUUCUUGUUGGUUUUAUUUCAGUUCUCCUCUUAUUAUCACACUUCCAACGUUGAGAGGGUUUUUGGUCCCCGUUUAUAACUUUUUCCCAUUGAUAGGUGCGAUGUUUUUGGGCUAUUUCUAUGUAUUAAGUUUAUAGCGCAAGCAAGAAUUGCUUUGUCCGAGGAAGAGAUUUGACAUUCUGUCUGUAAUGCAAAUUUUGGACUUUUUUGAAUUCAUUUGGAUAAGACAGAAUAAUCUUCUAGCUUCUUAGCAAUAAAUGAACUCACCUAAAGUGGCUUUUGAAUUGUUUUCGGCACUAGGUUGGGGUAUGUUAAAUAGUCCUUUAUACUCCACAUUGUAACUAUUACCAUAUCGUGGGUGCUUAUUUUAUAUCCUUUUUCCCAUGAUGCAGUUCGGGAAUAAAAGAAUUAUGGAAGGCCCUCUCUUUGAUUUUUGUAGGCCAGAGCCCUCCCAAGAACCAAUGGUGGUAACACCACCAUUGGAUAUGAAACAGGCUGAGUCAUCACAGCAGCAUGUGAGAGCCUUAAAUACCCAGUUUGCAAGGUCCAUAUUUUUAUUUUAUAUCAAUGAAUAUGCUUUUAAUUGAUUUGUGCAUUUCAAUUUGUCUUAUAUUGAUAUUUUCAAUGGAGGAUGACCUCUUUCAAGAGCAGAAACUGCCACAUGGUCUCAUAAAAGCAAUAAAGUUGGAUGUCUUAAAUGAGGCAGAUAUAGUUAAGUAUAUUCUUCUUUGUAUAUCUAUAUCAGCUUUGCAAUUAGUUAAGUUCAUUGUUUCUACAGCAAUGGAAUUAUAUCAAAUGGCAUGCACUCACUGUGUAACACUUAAUCGAAGAACAGUGUGUGGCUUUAAAAGCACAUCCAGUGUGUAUGUCAAUUAUAAAUCUCUCCUGACCGCCUUGUAAUUUAUUAACCAUAUAUUGGAUGUUAAUUAGUUUCACCUCUACAGGAUAAAAUGGCUGCUUUGGAGAUAAAUCUUCCGAGUGAAGGUGUGGAUGGAGUGCACAACAUGCGGUGGUAAAUCUUCAGAUAAAAAUUCUUGUGAAGGUGUGGAUGGAGAUUUUAUAUGGAAAAUGUAUUUAUAGGAUUAUAUGAUCAUUGCGAAUUUACAAGAAAAGAUGCUGAAAUACUAAUAUUUUAAUUUCAGGUCAUUACGGAGUAACCAAAUUUCCUUUUGUCAUACUCCAUCCAUAUUUUAUGUCAGAGAUUGCAAAAAUCUUGAACAAAAUUUGCCCUGGAUGUAAAUCUAUUCGACGAGAAUUACAGAACAAGGUAACACAUCAUAUAGUUAUAUGUUAUUUAUGAGCCAUAUGGCCCACUGUUGGAAGAGAAAGAUUUGUGCGGAGACAUAUAUGUGUAGAUACAACCAAUAAAAUCUUCACAACACAUGACAAAAAUUAAUUCUAGUUAAAAUUUAUUCCUAAAUGAUAAUACCAACAAACAUAAAUGCACUUAUCUCUAAAUAUGAUGUGCUGUAUACGUUUCCAUACAAGUUUUUCUCAUGUUGGAAAGAGUUUCAUAUUUUACACGAACCAUAUGGUGCCAAAUAUUUAUUAUUAUUAUAUAUAUAUAUAUAUAUUAAGUGGAAACCUUUACUUACUAGAAUGAUAUGCAAUGAUAUUCUUUAUUGCUAGCGUGAACGGCUUUAUAUUGACAAUGGAUCAAAUGUUAACUCUCAUUUUUUAUAUGUUAAAUUAUUUUUCAAAGCAUAUUAAUUGAAACAGUUUAAAUUUGUUCUACUCUCUGUGUAAAACUUGACAUUUUCUGCAACCAAAAUGGUGUUACAUCUAUUAGGUUGGAGACUUGGAGUAACUAUGGAUUUUCUCUUAGUUAAGGUUUUAAACUUUUUCUUUCAUCAGGGGCAGCAUGUCACCCAUAUUUUGUUUAGAACUCUUUUCAUUGAAUGUGAAUCAGAAGUAAAUUCGAACUAGAACAGGAGCAAGUUUUUUUAUCAGGAAAACAAUUAUUUCUAAUUUUAAUGUAUGCCUGAUCUUGUGCUUUCUUCUUUUCCCUCUAUAGAACUAUUCCUCUCAACUCCCAAUAUUUAUGCCUGCCAAAAUUGAGGUAAAAUGAUGGAACUAAGAAUUAAAAUGGAGUUAAAAAAUAGUUUUGCUCUGUUCCUUUAUAAGUUAAAUCCCAAACAAGAGUUGGGUUCUAUUCAUUCCAUUCCCUGGUUUGUAUGCAAGGGAAAGGUAGCUUUGCCCAUCUAAAAUUUUCUGUUCUGUUCCAUUAAUAAAAUUAAAAUCUAAACAGAGUGUAAAAAGUAAUCCGAUAACUAGUUGUUUAGAGUUUGCUUAAAGUACACAACUACACUGACAUGAAAAGAAUGUAGACCUUCCCUCAUUAAAGUUUAUUUUGUUUUGGAAUUUGGCAAAUAAGAAAUUGAUAAAGGUGGUUCUGUAAUACUCCCUCUGUCCCCUUAUGGAGUAUAACUGUUUAACUUAAGUCAUUUAUGACAUUCAGAAACGGAUACGAUAAGAGAAGACUUGUAUUGAAAAUUUAUAUUCACUAGUAUAAGGGACGUCCUUUUAUAUUAACCAAACUCGUGAUACUUGUAAAAAAAUACUCGUUUUCUUAUCACCAUUGUGUUUUUGGGUUUACUCAAACCAUUUAAUGGAGUCUGAUUACAAUGUUAUACAAUAAGCAGGCCCUAACUAUAUGAUGAAAUUACUAAUCUCAUGGAAUCCAUUUAGUAAAACACUUGAAGGCACGCAUUGAAAGGAGGGGUGACCAUUUUCAUAUGGUAUGUCUUUGUCAAACCUUUUCACCACAAUGGUCUAUUCAGGGUAUAUAUAUCCUAUUGUUGCUAAGUUCUGCUAGAGUUGUUUUUAGCUUUGAUUUUAUGUUAACUGUGUACAUAAGGAAACAAAUGUAGAUGAGAACCUUGUAAUCAAUUUUGUAUGCAUAUUGUAACAUAUUAUUGGAAUUCAUAUCUGGCUUCUUCAUAAGGGGACAAGUGACUGAAGAAAGCAAAACCGCAAAAUAGCAGCGCAGGGAUGUUUUUUGUAGGAAAGUUUCAGAUAUCUGCCUGGCACCUAUUACAGGUUAGAUUUCUAUAGAUUGUUAGAUUUCUUGUCUUAUUCGCACAUGUGGGAAUUGGGAUGAAUGUCGAAUAUUAUAGUCAUCCUUUAUGAGCUAGAUCUCUAGGAAAGAGGAAAAUGGAAUUUAUCGUUAGCUGCAUGGGAACACAGAAAACCUAUUUGUCAAUUAAUUCUGUGGUCGGCAUGAAGCUGGCGAUGGUAACCGGGAAAUGCAAAUGUUUAUGUCAUAACAUACUCUAUUUCUGUAAUUUGGCGUGUGCUCUCUUACCGUGAUGAGAGAAAAAGAAAUUGUUAGUAUAAUCACGUUAUGUCUUGAGAGUUGAGAUGCUAUAAAUUAGAAAUUGAAGGGUCUGUUUUGUUCCAAAGUCUUCUUUAAAAUUGAUACAAUGUUAGGUGUGAAGGCAUGUGAUUUUUUACUUUAAGACAUAAGCAAGGUUAGGUGUUGAUAUUUUUUUCCCAACUUCUUUAUUUGAAACUUAUAUUUCACAUCUUUCAUCCACAAAUCACAACUAGUAUGUUAUGAAUGUAAUAUCAUCCAUGUAUUGUAUGAUUAAAUACAAAUGAUAGAUGAUGCAAUAAUAGUAUAUAAAAUUACUACGAAUACAUUUUUUCUAAUACUUUAAUUUAUAUCUACAUUUAUUCUAAUACUUUAGUUUACAGCGUUCAAGUUAAAUAUAAAAGUUAUUAAAUAUUGAAAGAAAAAACAUUUCCAGAUUAUUAUUAUUUGAUUGUAUCCUUACUAAUUCAAAUCAUCGUAAAAAGAAAGAAAAAACUCAUUCAAAAUGAGAAAUAAUUUGCCUACUGAGAAUAUUGUUAAAAGAAAAUGUUUAGAAUCUAAAGAUUCAAACUCAAAAUAUGUUUGUUGUGGUCAGCAACAGAUUGAAUAGGUGAAUGAUAAGCCGAUAAGCUAUAAUGGGAUGUUACACUUUUUAAUCCUGUAUGCAUUGAAACAACAAGAACAAAGAAGUGCCAAGUUAAUAAUCCCCAUUUUAUUUUCAGCAAAAAGGAUAGUAGUAUAGUAUAACAAAGUGGGUACAAAAUGUAGUGGUAGCUUGGCCCUUGUGGGUGGGGCUGCCAAUAAUGUAAGUUUUUUUUGUUACAAGGCAGAUAGUGAUAGUAAAGUUGUGAUGAUAAUAUAACACUGAAGUUGAUAAAAUAAUAUUGCAUUAAAUAAUUUGGUGGAAAUUAUACACUUCUCUCUGUUUAAUUUAACAAUGAUUAGUACACCUCUUCAAAAAAUACUUAAUUUCAUUUGGUAACUCUGCUGUACCUAAUUGUAGUUCUUAGGCAAUUAGUUUUUUGGAGUUUUUGCCUAACAUGAAUGUCCUUGCUCAGGCUUCAUAGCCUCAUGUGUCAAUGAGGUGGUUUUUCUAAUCACAUUAUAGAAGGUAGACUUAGGUAUGCAUUAUAGCUUAGCUCUUCAACAAAGUUAAUGUUACUGAUUUAGCAGUUAGUACCAAUGUUUGCUAUAUGGUUGAUCAUUUAUGCCCCUUUACACCUUUUCUCGGCUUCUGUACUGCAAAGAUUUUGUUUGUGUCCUAUGCUUAUUUUUCUGAUAAUUUGUAUAUUCAGGGACCAACUAAUAUAAUCCGUGAUACUACCUGCUUACGAAGCGGCUAUCCGGGGUGUCUCUGGUACAUGGUUUACUAGUCUCCUACUGGUGCCAUGUUCAAGUUUUUCUUUACAUUGUUUAUAAAGUCUUGUAGUGAUACUCCCCCUAUCUCUCCCCUUGUCUAUGAUUCUAUAUUCAAUCAUAGUCUUUAGAUGUUCACAUCUGCGUAUUAUCAUUCUUGAGUAACAUGGAUCAUAGUUUCAAAUUGUUAUACUAUGUAGAUCCUUUUUUGCCAAAAAGAUCUUAAGCAUUGACUUAAGAAUAUCAAUAUGUUUCUUUUUUCCCACAUUGUCUUUGCUUGUCCUCAAGCACCUAGAAUAACUACUGAUGUGCAAAAGGUUUCUGUGUCUGGUUCCUAAUAAGUCAUAAAGGGUCAAUUCUGAUCCAUUCUUCCAAGUGAUGUUAGUACAGUUGCUCGAUGUUCUCUGCUCAUGGUGGUGAAACUGCUGUAUUUUUUCUUCAGGGUGAAAUUCACAUCUUUUCUGGUUCGAAUUUUGCGCCAGUUGAGAACUAUUAGAUUAAUGUUGGAUCUGGAAUUGUUGCCCCUGCAUUUUCUUCAACAAAUUGUCUAUUCAGUUUCUGUAUGGUAUGACUCUAGUAAGGAUCAUACUACAUUGAAAAUAAUCCGGGUUUUUUCCCCUACUAUUCCUAGUAGUCAAGUAAAAGCCAAUCUUUGGUAGUGUGCAAUUGCUAUCACUUAUCCUUUUAACAUUCUUAUAAAUUUAAAGCUUCUGAUUUUUUCAACUGUGCAGUUGUGAUUUGUUUAGUUUAUCUGGUUUGCAUGAAAUGGUAAUAUAUGUAACAAAAACAGAUUUUGGUGGAGCCUUUUGGUUGGAAUUGAUUGGUGGGGUGCACCCAGAGUGCUGCUGAGGAUAGUAUUGAUAUGGAAGUUUUUGGUAUCGUCUUUUUCCUAUUUCUGUUUUCAUCAAGUAUUCUCAUGGGAUUGAUUUAUUGUAACAUGUUUAAAAUUAUAUAAGGAUUAAUCUUUUUAAAGAUAUAUAUAUAUAUAUAUAUAUAUAUAUUGUGUAAUAAUUUUAUAAAGUCAAUGUUCUUAACUUAUUAAAGCAAGUAAAUGGAAUGUGAAAGGAGAUUCAAAUCUCAUUUAAUGUGAAAUAUAAUUCAAAAACAAAUAGACCAAUCAAUUAUUAAAAUAUACAAUGUGGGAAGGUAUAUAGAAAUAACAUGGACAUGUUUUGGAGGAAAAUAUUGGUUGUGGGAGUGAUAUAUGCUAUGAGGAACAUUUUUUCUUAUAUAUGUGAUAGACUAUUGAGGGGUCUCAUUCCUUUUCUGAACUGUGAUGAUAGUACAUUUUUUCUUAUAUAUGUAAUAGACUAUAUUAUUAGGCAUAAGCAUUGUGUUUAUUGAUUCUCCUUGCAGAACAAUAUAAACUUUCAUUCGGGAGAAGAAUAAUAUAAACUUCAUUGCUUUUUAAGCUUAAACAUACUUGGAGAUGGAAGGAUAAAAUGCCCAAGAGGUUGUUGUUGGAUAUGUGCUAAUGCUUGGGAAAGGAGUUGAGUGUACUUUGAUAAAUUCUUCACCCUGACAAGCAUUCUCGCGGAAACAUUAAGCAACAUUGACUAUGAAUCAAUGGCUAUGAGCAUGUAUGUCACUUGUCCUUACUAUUCAGGUCUACUUUUGUUAGAGUUUGACUAGUAUCAUUCCUUAUUUUGUCCCCUCCAUUAAAUUUAUGAUGGUCAUUAAUGUUUAUUUAUACAUAAUAUACUAGAGAACAUAUUAGGUGAGAAUUAUUGGGUACUGUAACUGAGAGAUUAGAUCUUGAUUAUUGUUUUUUAUUUAGAUGACUAAGAUUGAAAGAUAAAUAAACAAUUAUAUAUGUUGAAAUAAUUUGAAGAUAAAUGUUUAUAAUGAAAGUUGUCAAACAAAGAUGUUUAAAAUGGGCAAAUGUUUUUCAGCUCUUUUUUGACAAAAUUAUUGAAUCUUGAUUAUUGUUUCUUAUGAUGGUCAUUAAUGUUUAUUUAUACAUAAUACACUAGAGAACAUAUUAGGUGAGAAUUCUUGGUUAUUGUAACUGAGAGAUUAGAUCUUGAUUAUUGACUAAGAUUGAAAGAUAAAUAAACAAUUAUAUAUGUUGAAAUAAUUUGAAGAUAAACCUUUAUAAUAAAAGUUUUCAAACAAAGAUAUUUAAAAUGGGCAAAUGUUUUUCAGCUCUUUUUGACAAAAUUAUUGAAUCUUCUAAAAUUGAAAGAAUAUAUGAAUAUGGAGGAGUAAACAUUUUUAUGGUCAUUAGCUUUGUUUUCCUUUUGUACUAUUUAAGAAAAAUUAUAUUGAGGCAUCAUAAGUUAAGAAGAUUUCCGGUAUAUGUGCGCUUCAUGGUACCUUGUGCAUAUGGAUUAUAAUUUAUUUAAUAAAAAUAUGUGGGCUUAAUUUAUUUUCACAAAAGUUUAUAUAUUAGAAAACUAUUUUUAUUAAAAAUUUAUUUAUCACUUGUUAUCAUCAUAUAUUAAUGUUCUGAUAUUAUUAGAACCGUAAUUUCUUAAAUAUUCUAAUUACUUAAUUUUAAAAAAAUAAUAAUGAAUGUGUUUGAUAUGUUAAUUAAAAAUUUAAUUUAAAGUUAUAAAGAACAAAUGUUUACAUAUUUUAAAAAUUAAAAUGUAAUAAUAUUUAUAACUCCUAAGUUAAAGUUCAUUGAGAAUUCUUUUAGAAUUAAUGUUAUGAUCCAUAAUUAAUUUUAAUUUUAUUGAAAUAUUUUUUUAUAAAUAUAUAUUAUUACUAAAUUAAUUAUUAAAAGUUGGUAAUUGAAAGAAGGGAAAAUCAAAUUGACUAAAAGUGCUGCAAGAAUGCAAAAAAAUAAAAUAUGUAUUAACAAGGCCCAUUAAGGCCCACUAAGUAGAUUUUAUUUACAGUGUCGGUGUUUAGUUUGCUAUAUAAAGACAAGAUCAUUGGAUGUUUCAUAAGUUCUUUGAGAAAUAUGCCAGAGAGGGAGAGAGAGAACGUGAGAGAGGGAGAGAGAAAGCGAGACAUACAGUAAGAGUGGUAUGAAAUUGAACAUGAAUAUGCGAGAGUGCGAGAAAGAGAGAACGUGAGAGAGAGAGAGAAAGCGACACAGAAAGAGAUUUAUAUGAGGAAUCACAGGAAGUUGAGAUCAUAUUCCUUUGCACUCGCAAGAGAGGUAUGAAAUUGAACAUGAAUAAAAGAGAAUGAUGCAUACUGUUUAGUGUUGGAUAUGCAUGCGAGAGAGGGUGAGUGACAGAAUCAAUUUCCAAUCUUCUUCAUAAAUUACUAUAACUCAUGAUAAUGUGAGUUUGUUGAAUUUCAGCUCAUAAUAUGCGAUUUUCUUCAACUUCAACUCAUUAUAAUGUGAUUUUCUUGAACUUCAACCGAUAAUUAUGUGAUUUUCUUGAACUUCAACUCAUAAAUGUGAUUUUCUUGAACUUCAGCGGAUAGUUAUGUGAUUUUCUUGUACUUCAGCUCAUAGUGUUGCGAUUUUCUUGAACUUCAGCUGAUAAUGAUGUGGUUUUCUUGAACUUAAGCUGAUAAUGAUGUGAUUUUGUACGCAUGAAAUUGAGUCAUACUGUUUCGUGUCGGAUAUGCAUGCGAGAGAGGGUGAGAGAAUCAAUUUCCAACCCCUUCUAUCUCUCUUUUCUAUCUCAAUUUCCAAUCUUAUUCAUGAAUUACUACUUAUCUCAAUUUCCAAUCUUCAUGAAUUACUACACUUAUUGAGCCAACUUCUUAGUAUCUCAGUGAUGUGAUUUUCUUGAAUUUCACCUCAUAAUAUUGCCAUUUUCUUGAACUUCAACUCAUAAUAAUGUGAUUUUCUUGAACUUCAACUCCUAAUUAUGUGAUUUUCUUGAACUUCAGCGGAUAAUGAUGUCAUUUUCUUGAACUUCAGCUGAUAAUGAUGUGGUUUUCUUGAAUCUGAACUGAUAGUCAUGUGAUUUUCUUGAACUUAAGCUAUGUUAUUUUCAUGAACCUCAACUGAUAAUGAUGUGUGUUUCUUGAACUUCAGCGGAUAAUGAUGUCAUUUAUUUAUGACUUUCUUGAACUCCUAAAUGAUAUUGUAACAUGAAUUCUUUAUUCACAAUGGAUAGAUGGUUGGAUCGAAAUUAUAUACUUGUAGUAUGAAUUCUUUAUUCAUAAUUUGUAAAUGGAUGAUAUGCUUUUAUGAUCUCUCAUUCAAAUGCAUUUGAUCUUGAUGAAUCUGAAUUUUAGUGGCUGUUUUGGAUUGUGAGGAUGAGGUAUUGCAUGCAAGAUGAAUGAUUGUGAGGAUGAAUCUUGAUGCUAUGUUUGACCCUAGUUGCUUAUAAUUUUGAAUUCAGAUGGACCCUAAUUUUAAAAAUUACCCGAAAUGCAAUUACAAUUUAAAUCCUCAAUUCAUAGUGUUAAAUCCUUAACAUCUGAGGUUUGUGUGAUAACAUCUUUAGUGCCUGAGCCCGUGCAAGGAUCCACUGAAACAUUAAUUAGCGUUGACUCUGAAUCAAUGGCUAUGAACAACCUUUGUCCUUACUGUUCAGGUCUGCUUUUUUUUCAGUUUGACAAGUGUCAUUUGGUCAUUUUAAUUGUGUUUCAAAUUAUGCAGGCUUAUGUUGAUUUGUUUGCACUUGCAAGAGAGAUAUGAAAUUGAACAUGAAUAAAUGAGAAUGAUGCAUACUGUUUUGGAUAUGCAUGCCACACUCAAACUCCUCAAUCAGGGACUCCACAACCUGUCAUGGCAAUUUCCAACCCUUUCUAUCUCAAUUUCCAAUCUUCUUCAUAAAUUACUAUUACUCGUGAUAAUGUGAUUUUGUUGAAUUUCAGCUCAUAUCCUCCCCUCUUACAAUGGAAUCAUAUAGAGAUGGUAUUUUUUCAAAAGAAUUCUCCUUAACGGUUUUUGUAUCUUCUCUAAUGUUAAUUUUUUCAAUUCAUUGUCAGCAGUCAUAUAUGUCCCAAGCUAUGACUCAGUGAGCUGCAAGUUCAGUUCAAAAUGAGGUUGUUACAUGUGUGGAUGAAAGGUGUAAAAUUAAGUUAAAAUAUGGAAUUCUCAGUAUAUUAUUGCAGUUGUGUAUAAAAUGUUGUCAGUGUAAACUGUCUAAUUGGGAUCACUGUAAACACACUUUGACCUUCUAAUUGGUGGAAGAAAAAGGCAUAUGGUUUUGCCCCCUUUGUGGCUAUUCAUUAUUUCACUCGAGUCAUACAUUUCUUGCAGGAUGGAAGAUUUGUCACAUCCAGGUUCUUGAUGAAUUAGAAGUCUGUAUUUGUACAUGUUAUAUUGUAUUGUGCUCAACUUGCUCAAGAGCAUAGCAAGUUAAAUCUAAAGGUGCCCUGAAUUUUGUCUUCUAUGCUAUACUUGUGGUCUGAUUUUAAAUUUGAAUUGGGACAUUCAUUUAUCUGUUGUGAUUUUAAAUUUAAAUAUGGUUGUAUGGGAAAAAAUAGGGAAUCCAAAUUCUGUUCUAGCUCAAGAAGAACAUACAGUGUUAGCAUUAAAUACUAGUUAUUUGUAUCACAUUAUGAAUUUAUGAUAUGUAUUCCAUGCAGAUGGUAGUAUAUGGAAUUAGAAGGUUCUAUAAUAUUGUAUAGUAAUGAUAUGAUCUACUAUUUUUAAUGUGCUGUCAAAUUAGUUUCUGUGUCAUUUUUGUAUAUCAGGGACUCUGAGGAACAGUUCUUCUUAACUGGAAACUCUUAUUAUUUUCUAUGAAGGGGCAAGAGUUAUCUUAAAAGCUUUGAGUGAUAGGAUAUGAAGGCUUUGAGUGAUAGGAUAUGAAGGCUUUGAGUGAUAGGAUAUGAAGGCUUUGAGUGAUAGGAUAUGAUCUCAUAGACACUGUAAACUUUCUAAAUGUAUUUACUUGGUGUCCACUAAGUUAGUAGUAAUUAUAGAUGUUAAGUUAUCAAAGUUCCUCUAUAUGAUGUUUUGUAAUUCACAUUAGAGAAUAGACCAAUCUUAGAAUAAUUGAUGUCUUUAAUUUGUUUUUUAAUUAUGUUCUGAUUGAAAAUUAAAACUAACAAGUGCUUGGAGACAUGAGUUUCUGAAGAACUGCUUGUUUCCUUCAGUAUAUAAGGUGCUUAUUGUCUGUAAUGGUACUUUUCAGUCUUCUUUAUUUUACUAGUGCACGACUGAAUAUUUUUAUGCUUGAAUAUUUAUUUUUUGUGAAAGGAAGUUUAGGUAAGUUGGGUCUAUGCAAGAAUGUUUUUUACCUGAUCUCACAGAUAAGAUGCUUGUGGAAACAAUAAUUUUCUUGGUGUAUGCAGAGAAAUGCGAUGCUUUCCCCUAAAUUCUUGCCUCUGGAUGUAAGUGAUUUUUUUCUUAGGAUUUCUUCAAUAAGGGGAGAUAUGAGCUAUUAACACACUCACAAUUAAUAGAUUUCUUCUUAGUAAUAGAUGCAUUUACACAAAUUUGAAACACCUUAAGGUUUUCAUAUCUUUGCUUGUGAAAAUAAAUAGGCUGCUUUCAAUGCAAUUGUGGUAUGUAAUUCAGAUGUUAUGCUUUGGGGGGACUAUGAUGUGCCUAAAUGCAACAGCUAUAUGGAUUGACCCUCGAUAAAUCUAAAUGUAAAUUGCAGUAAGCAUUCUUUUUUCAUUAUAUUACAUAAAGCUUGAAUGUAUAUUCUUGUUGGAAUGUUUGAGCUGGCAAAAUGCAAUUGUUUCCUAAUGUAGUAAUUAGAAUUACAUGCUUUUAAGACUUAUAUGAUCCCUAAAUGCAGUAUGAGUUCUUUGUAAAUGAUAUAAAAAGUGGAUGGAGUGUUGGUAUAUGUUGUGCCUUGAUGAUCCUAACUGCAAAUGUCAAAUGCUAUAUUGAUUCUUUAAGCAUAAUGUAAAUCUAGGAUAGUCGUGGUUUACCUUAACGCGUUGUCAAAUAAUGUGACUUUCUUUAUUUGUAAUGUAAAUUUUGGAUUGUGGUUUUUUGGCCUUUAUAACCUAAAGGCAAUGGCAGCAUGAAUCUCUUCAUAAUCUAAAUUCUGGAUGGGUUUGAGCCUAGAUGUCCUUAAAUGCCACUAUAAUAUAAAAAUGUUUAUUUAUGAUGUAAAAUAAGCAUGUUAUUUUUAGCAUAUAUUACCUUAAAAGCAUUUGUAAUAUGAUAUCUUGUUUCAGAAUGAUUGGAGGUGUGAACUCUUUAUGACCCUAGAUGCCACUGAGGUGUGAACUCUUGUUUCAGAAUGAGUGGAUGCCACUAGUGUAGGCAAUAUCAGCUAUGGAGGAAGGAGAUUCUUGGGGUCAGACUGCAACAAAAGAGAAAGAAUGUGCUUCUGGGAGAGGAACAUGUCUGGCUUUGAAGCAUAAAGGAUUAAGCCUGUUGAGAUGGCAGUAUCUGAAACGAUGGUGAAAAGAAAGAACAUAUUACUGCGUUUCACCAAGCAUCUUUUUGAAUACCUGGGAUGUUGGAAUUUGUUUAUUCUUUUGCCUAUGUGGAUUAAACUGACAGUUGUUAUAUAAGGAAUCGAUUGUUUUGGGAGUCUCUUGCACUGUGGGCUGCCCUUUAAUAUAAAGGUAUAAUUGCAAGUACUUUAUCGUUGGUUUUCUAGUGGAUAGUAAAUUUAAUUGUUAAGUAUGGCAUUUGCCUAACAUGAAUGGCUUGAUAAACCUUGCUCAGGUUUCAUAGCCUCACUUAAUCAAUUAGGUGGUUUUUCCAAUCACAUUAUAGAAGGUAGACUUAGCUAGGCAUUAAAAGCUUGGCUCUUCAAUGAAGUUAAUAUAAUUGGUUUGGCAGUCAACACCCGUCUUUUCUAUAUGGUUGAUCAUUUAUGCGACCUUUAAUCUUUCCUGGCUUUUCUAUUGCAAACAUUAUUUAGGGUUUUCUAUUUGGUUUCACACCUCCAAUCAUUUAUGCUAUCUUUAUCAGAUUUUUGGGUUAAGAAUUAUUUUUUGAAUUAUGGUUCGAAGAGAAUGGCCCUUUUGUCAGCUGAGUUAAUUAGAAUGACCUGUUUUCUUUGAUUGCAUGGUCCAGAAAGUGUGUUGUUAGAGUCACUGAUACAUUAUAGGCUCGUUUGUGUCAUGUUUGUUGAGAACUUUUAGGUGGCAGAGAAGGAUUGAUGUAUUUGGACUAGGCUUCACUGAUUCUGUACAUACCUAUCGAUAUUUUCCCUUCUUUCCUCACCAAAUAAAUCCAUUUUAGCAAGCAUAUAAGUAGGUUAGCACAUUUUGUUCCACUUUCAAGUCAUCUGUGAGGAUUACUGUCUUUUUUGUAAUAAUGCUUUACUAUUGCAUGUGAUUGCUCUCUGCAGGUGCUAAGUAAUCCGGAAAAGACUCCCCUUCACACUUUCAUUUGCAACUAUGAUUUGAGUGACAUGCCAGCUGGUACCAAAGUAAGUUUUGUCUGUCUGGAUAAAUCUCUACCUCAAUUGAUUUGGGCAUUUUGCUUCUUAAUGGCAUGAUUGUUUUGAUACGGCUGACUUUAGCUCUAAAUGUUGGCUGGCCAUAUAUGAAAGAAGUAAAUUAAAAGACUAGAAUCCAGUACAUGAUUUACUUGUAAAUUGAUUAUUACAUUCAUGAGAUGGUGAGAUCAAACAACCAUAAGCAGGGCAGGGCAGUGCACGAAGAUCAUACCUAGUGGGGUCAGGGGAGUGUUGAUCUUCAAGCAUCUCUCUAGAAUCAAUGGAUUCUAGGUUGAGUAGAGCUGUUUCUUUAUUGCUAAGAAUUUAGGAAGAUUACAAAAGUAGAAUUGUUAGAAUACAAUGGAUCCCACGAUUCUCUUCUCUGGUUCCACAUCCAGAAACUUCCCAACUAAUUUUCCAUCCCUUUAUUGAAUUUUCUAACUAACUAAGGGUAUUAUUGACAAAACUACCACAUGACUACUUUUCUUUUGCCUCUUUUAUAUACAUUUGUAAUACAUGGCCUUGGCCUACCCUUAUCAAGGGUAGAUAUUUUAUUUUUUUGAAAAGUGGUUUUAAGUAAAAGUUAUUUUUAUUUUUUUAAAAAAACGACCAUACAAUUGCCAGGCUGUGUUAUUGGGUUUCAAUUUGGUUUCCCAUGUUGGGUUGCUUUUGCUGCUUGGAUUUUCAACUGUGCUUAAUGGUGCUAUUUUGUUGUUGUUUCUCAAUUUUUAAGUGAGAUUGUAUCUUGGCAAAAGGAGGAAGCUUAAGAGUGUCGGUGAUGAGAGUGAGAAUAACAGUGUCGGUAACAAAAAUGGAACACCCUCAUAUUAGGUUUUUAACUUGAGGCAUGUUUGAUCUGGUGGCGAAAACUUUGCUGGGGUCAAACAUAUCUUUCAUGUGAAGAAGCUGUUGUAAGUGGUUUCCACGUUUAUAAAGUAUAUUCAACAAUUUGUAAUACGGUUCCAAACACUCAUGGUUAAAAUUUCUAUUUGGGUACAAAAUGUUCUAACAUUUGACACUAUCUGAAUUUCUACUAUGAUAUCUGAUUUCAAAGAUCGCGAGAGAUCGAGAGAGAGAGAGAGAGAGAGAGAGAGAGAGUGCGAGAGAGAGAGAGAGAGAGAGAGUGCGAGAGAGAGAGAGAGAUUAAGCAUUAUGGAUUUAUUUAUGCCAUUCUUCCUACCCUCUCUCGCAUGCAUGUCCAACUUGUGGUUCUGUUACAGAUUAAAUUAUGUUUUGCUGUCUCAAUAUCGAAUGUUGUACCCCAAAAAUGGUUGAUGAAUUUUUGUAAGGUGUUUUUAGUUGAGCACUUGCACUAACUUACUAAUAAUACACAACUUGAUCCUAGUAAAUAAUAUAUAUAUGUGUGUGUGUAUAUAUAUAUGCCAAGCAUUGCAAUAAUGAAAUGAAUUCGAACUAGUAUAAUAAGUUAACUGAAAUAAUGUUAUCUUUGAUACCCAAAACUGGAGUGUGUGGUUGGAUUGUGUCCCCAUGAUGCAGAUAAUGAAGAACAUAAAGGAAACAAGGAAAUGGUCAAUUUUCAGCAUCAUUCUUCCUACCAAUGCCGAUAAUUUUAGAUCUUGAGAGAACAGACAAAUGGCAGUAUAACUUUAGCUCUAUAAUUCUAAUCUAAAAGAAUACUUUCAGGUUUUAUACCACAUUGGACAAUGCAGUUCCGACAGUCAUCAUGAAGAGGCAUGUUAAGCACUUAAGGUAAUUUUGAAAUGAUAUUCUAAUUCCGCAACACCCUUGACCAUUCCAUUUUCAUGUAUUCAUAUAUUAUGAAUACAUGAAAGUGUACAUAUUAACUUUUCCAUUUUGACUUUCAUACUAAGUUGUUGAGGAGUAAAAUUUGGCAACUUCUAUGGUCAUGAUAUUUUCACAGAUUUUAUUUUAUGUUCUGAUUAUAAUAUGGGUAAUUGGGUGUAGUACAUUAUAGUGAAAGUUCAUUCUUUAAGUUGAAUCACGGUGAUGGACUAUAUUUCAAGUUAUGACUCUAUAUGAUCCAUCUUAGUUAUAUUAUAGUUUCCCCCCUACUUAGUUUAUGGGCUUCUGAUUCUUUAAAUCAUUGUUUGCAGAGGUGUGCUAUUUGGUGCAUAACACAUUUGGUUGAAGCCUAAUGCUAAUAUAAUUAAUGAAACGUUCCUGUUUUUGCAAUUUGUUAUAUAGGAUAGAGUCAUUGACUUGAUUUAUCUUAUACAAUCUCUAAUUUCAUAUGAACUCCACCAAGGAGGGUAGAUUAGUCCAAUCUCGAGAGGUAGACGAAACCAUUAGUGAGUAUUAAGUAAAGGGUUUAUGAUAAGACAUUAUGGUGUUGGUCAAUAUAGCUGACCCUAUUUAGUGGAAAAAUACUUGUUGCUUUUGUUUUUGCUUAUUUCAUGGAUUGUUUCAGGGGUGCACUUGUGCCGUGCUAGACAUGCAGAAUGAGUUUGAGGAUUUAUUAUAUUUUCUGUUUUGUCUCUUGCUGUUGUUCUGGCUAGAUUCUCUGGAAACUGUUAUAGAGUUCUAGUAUACCUUUUAUUGCUAUGAUUGAUUUUUUGGUCAAUAGGCUUUGGUUAAAGGAAGUAGGUUUAUUCUUUUACUAAUUCAUGAAUCCAAUACUUAAGUAUAUAUAGUUGAAAAGGGUUUAUUUCUUUCUUUCUUAUUCACCCAAUUGGUUGUAUUAUUGAGUAUUGACCAUUGGAUUCUGAAUUCAGAUUCAUCAUACUAAAACGAAUUCUGCCAAUUUUGCAGGGUUAAGGGUUUUUAGCGAGAGUAAUGAAACAUUGGUUUGACAAUAAGUAGUCACAGAAUUAAGUAUCACUGGUGUCUGGUGUUACAGAUAUUCACAAACACAAAUAAAUCAAUUGUAAGAUUAGUUUGUGUGACUCAUUCAUCUUCAAAUAUGAUCUAUUCUUGAUUUAGAUAUUUGGUAUUUAUGUUUUGAUUCAAGUGUUGGUAAGAAUAGUUGCUAAAACUUAUGCUAAAAUUUGAAUUUCAAUAAAUUGUUUUUUAGUCAUAAACACAUCAAUUUUUCCUCUCCGGAACUAUUCACUUGUACUGUGAGAUGGAUUUCCUGUAUCUAAUAGAGUUUUAUAGUUGUGCCACUGCCUCCCAAGGCAUGUCUGUAGUUCUAUUUUAAUCUAAUCAUGUAGCUAAUUUGUUCCUACUUAUUUAUUUUCACAAUUGUUGUUCAAUCUUCAGUAAUUUUGAUAUGAACUUAUUGACAGUGACCAACUAUAUAUCAGUGCAACAGCAUGGAACAUUUUAAACAUGUAACAAUCAAGGAGGAGCACUCAUUUCUAUCAUCAAUGGUGUUGAUUUUCGAGCUAUUGGCUAACAUAAUACUCUUGGUGACAAGGCCUUUAUCUCUGCUUAAACUGGCAUACUUGAUUGGGAUCAGAACUGCGUUAAUUGUCACUUAUGCUUGGAUAUCUUCCAUUUAAACAUAAUAUUGGGAACUAUAAUAACAUGGACGUUUGGGCUUAUAUCUCUACCUGCAAGAGUUGUGAAUACCUUUCAAAGGGAGAGGCAGGCUAGUUUUCAUUCGAUAACUAUAUCAUAUUCCCUAAAUGAUAAGAUGACUGAUUUGCAUCACAGGUUUUUAUCUGCAUAAUACAUUUCAUUUUCCCCUAAGUUGUAUAUGGAUCAUGAUGGGUAGAAUUUUGUCACUGAUGAAAAUUUUAGUACAAAGUACAUGUAAGCUCUUUUUUUAAGGGUGGGGACUGGGGAUGUUGGUGCUUUUAGACUUAAUUUCCCUCUAUCCUUUGUGGACUCCUCCCAUUAUUCUUAUCCAUAAGCACAACAUUUAUUUUAAUGCAGAAUAAGCUAGAGAGUCUAAUAUGGGAUCAGAAGGAANNNNNNNNNNNNNNNNNNNNNNNNNNNNNNNNNNNNNNNNNNNNNNNNNNNNNNNNNNNNNNNNNNNNNNNNNNNNNNNNNNNNNNNNNNNNNNNNNNNNCAUUCUUGUAAGUUUCAUCUUUUUUUCAAACCUAGAAUCACUUACAAACCUCUAAACCACAAAAUAUAUUCUUUUUUUGUUUUAAAAAAAACUCAAACGGUGUGAAUGAUUCAAAUCUAAUUCAUGAAAGGCAAAAACAACAUUUAACAAAUGAGUGCCACACUUAUUUUUAAUUCACCACCAUUUUCAGAAUACAAACUAAAUGAGUUAGAGGGUCCAUUUUAUAAUAUUAAUUUUUUUUAUUGUUUUUUUAGAUUUGUUGAAUAUAUACAUAGUAACAUACAAGUUGGCAUCUAACAUAAUAUGAGAUAUUGACAUGACAUCUAAUUCACAAGUGUAAUUAUCAUAACAACUUACAUCAAUGUUUUGGUAUAUUGAAUGAGUUUAUUAUAAUAUGAUACGUGUAAUUAAUUAGUCAAGUGGCAUAGUAAGUAUAGUUUUGGCGGACAAUGUUGAGUUUGAUGCUGGGAUCUCUUUGCAUGGUUUGGUUGCCGCUAAACUUGGUGCCCAUGUCACCAAUCGUUGACUGUGAAAGGUUAGAGGUAUUAGAUACCCAUCUUUGUCAUCUUUGCUUUUAUUUGAUUAUAAAGGCUUUUAAUUGACCAAUUUCUUUGAAACCUAGUGCUUUCAGGGUUUGUCAAUAUGCAUAUUGGUUUUCAUUAGAUUUAUCAUAAUUUUGAUAGGAUAGUUAAAUAGCAAUGGAUAGAUCCUCAAAGUUAUAGUUUUGAUGAAUGGUGGCUUAUUGUUUUGGACCCGGCGGUACUUCACAACAUGAGAAGAGUGUGUUGCCUGAAUAAACUUGACUGCAAUGUAAGUUUUAUAUCAUUACAAUAAUUGUGGCAAAGCCUUCUCAUUUUACAAUUGAUUUUGUUCAUGAAAUUAUAGUACUGUAGUAGUACUGUGUCUAUUGCAUGGAUUUUAUGGAAGAUAUUGAUUAAGCACAAAUGCGCAACAAUCUCUACUUAUAUGCAUAUGUGAUCUUGAGAUUCUAUGAAUUCUUGUAAGUUUCAUCUUUUUUUCAAACCUAGAAUCACUUACAAACCUCUCAACCACAAAAUAUAUUCUUUUUUUGUUAGAUAAAUGUAUUGUCUGACUCCAAUAUGGCUUGAACUUCCUCAGAUCUUGAGAUUCUAUGUUGUUAGUUAUUUGUCCGUUGUCACCUUUGACCUUCCUCUAUUCUAUGGAUUGAACUAAUUAAUUGGUUCUUCGAUGAUAACCCUCUUUGCCACUGGCAUUCUUCUCCGAAAUUCUCCUGGUUUGGUUUUUAUAAUUUCAUACCAUAAUCAGAGUUACUUUUUAUUCUUUGUCCUACCUAUACAACCUGCAUCUAAUAAUUUUGCCCUUCAUUUUCUCUAUUCAUUUUAACCAUCUAAUCAUUUGAAAUGAGCAUUACCUUGUCGAGUUCUUGAUGGGAAAUGGGGCUUCUUAAGGUGUCUCAAUCUGUUUAAUGGGUUUUCUUUCCUGCCAUCAGAUAAAGCUUUCACGGCUAAGUGGUGACAUUCAAUCAACAGAGAGUUAUCAUCUGAAAAGAUAACGAGGUACUUCAAAGUUUAAAAUAAACUUUGAGUGAGCGUUUUUUACAGGUGAUGGUGCUCUGCUUUUAUCAAUGUUCUAUUUGUUGCUUUCUGAAAACUACAUCUCAUGUUUAGAUGAUCAAGCAGUACUGGAGUAAGAAAAUAUCAUUAUACUGAAAUACCUCCUACAGAUGGACAUAAUCCUUCAAAGUGAUACAUUAAAGGGAGAAAGAUCUGGUUUCCUAUUGCUUAAUGUUAAGUUCGGUUAAAACUUGGCAGCAACCUUUUCCGAGGAAUUUUGUCGUGUUUUAUUUCACUAAUUGAAAGUCUUGAGUUGCCUUGGGACGUGAUGUGAAUUACUGUUAUGAAUCAUAAGGUAUGUUUGUAUACCAUAUUUGAACAGAUGUUUUAAUGUUGUUAUUGGCAUCAGUGUAAUGUUUCUAUACCUUAAGAAGCCCUUAGUUUCCUUUCUCAAACAGAUACAGUUGAUGGUAAUUGCUAGCUUCAUUAUUUAUUGUAGUUCUCCCUCUCAUAUGUAUGGAACAUUUUAAACUUGUAACAAUAUAACAAUAUAACAUUAAGAUCAAAUCUCAUUAUUAUUCCGUUUUUUAUUUAAAGAAAAAUAUGGAUUUAUGUAUCUUAUCUCAUUCUUUUUCUUUUGUGUCCCUUCAUCUUCAUGUGACAAGAGAUAUGAUUCACCCGAAAAAAUUAAUAAUUAAUAUUUGAACUUAAAUAAUUUAAAAAUUAAUAAUUAAUAUUUGAACUUAAAUAAUUUUUUAAUCCAUCUGAGGUAAUGGUACAUGGAGUAUAAAAAGUGAGAUAGUAGACGUGCUUCCAAAAAAUAUAUACACCUAUUAUGUAUAAAUUUUAUAAAUUAUUAUUAUAUCACUAAUUUAUAUUUAAUUAUUAUUAACUCUUUAAAAAAUUAAUUUAAAUGAAUGAUGUAGUGACUCUAUAUAAAUUUUUAUAUUAAUAAUAUAUUGAUUGAUGUUACACUUUUUUAUUUAUUAACCUUAUGUAAUUGUGUUGGCUUCAUAGUUGGAUACUCCUGCGCAGGGGUUGGUAUGUAUUGUGUCAGGUAAAGUAAAAAUAGUAUAAUAUAAAUAUAAAGAGUAAAUAUCAUUUCAGUCUCUCAUGUAUUCAAUCAUACCGAUUUGGUCCCUCAAAUGUGAAAAACUCAAAAUAGUCCACAUAAAUUUUAAAUGUGAGUUAAAUUAGUCACUUUUACUAUAUUUUAUAAUCCGCGACAGAAACUAAUUUGACUAACAUUUAAAAAAUUUGGAGAUUAUUUUGAGUUUUUUAAUUUUUAAAGGACAAACUCGUGAGGUAAAAAAACAUGAUGGAUUGAAAUUGAUAUUUACUGUAUAAAAAAUGAGAGAAUACAAAACAAGUCUGAUUAAAAAAUAUUAACUAGUAUAAUAUGGAUCCUUCUAUUACGAUAAUAGAAGCUUAAUGUCAUUAUUUUGUAACAAAUUCUUGGUAACUCAUAUUUUCGAAGUUAUGUGUUCAAAAGUGUUAUGAACAUUAUGCUAUUGAAAUUGCUAAGUCAAAGCACUCCUUAGCAAUGAGAAAACACUAAUAUUAAGCAUUUUUACAUACUGUAUGAAUAGUGCUCUGUCAAGAUUAUCAUGAAUGCAUUCAAUGAAUUUUCUUUGAAUAGUGUUUUGGAUGAUAAUCCAAAUAUCUAUUUUGAAGGUAUAAAGAAUGAUAUAAGAAGAGAUAUAUUGAAUAUUACAAGUUUUAAAAUAUGUUAAUCUUCAAUGUUACUAUUUCAAUUGAUAAAAUUGUUGGCAAAUUAAGAUCAUGGGCAAGUAGAACUCUACCCAAUAUGGGUAGAUGUCAAUAGUGAUCUUAACGUUACAAAGUUAUUGUUGCUGAUAUUACAUACUUAUUGGGCUACAAUUUUUUAAUUUUUGAAGUUGUUUUUACAAAUAUUGAAAGAAAAUUCAAAGUAUUCCUUUAGGGCAAAAAGAAAUUUGUAUAUAUUUAUUCUUUACUAGUCAUUUUGGCUUAAAUAAAUUAAUGAAUAUUAACUCAAGGUAAAUAGUAUACUACUUUCCUUCAACAGAUAACUUAACAGAGAACAAUCAACAAGAAUAUAAAGUUACUUUUGGACAUGUUGGGUUGAGUGUUGAAUUUAAGCAUAUAACUUCAGAACAUCGAGACAACCUGAUUAAAUGAUGAGAUAACGUUACUAUAAGGAAAAUAGUAAACUUAAUACUAAUGAAAUAUAAAUCUAGUGUAAAGGAUAUGUAUUAUUGUAUGAAAGAGUACCUACACUAAGCACAAUCAGCAGAAGUAGACUGUAAUGUAUGAUUCUCUUGAUUCAGUAAUAGACAAAACUUUUGUCAAAUAUUAAAGAAAACAAAUAGAUGAUAUUACUCAGUUUAGAUUGUAGGAAAACAUCUAGAAAUGGAGGGGGAACAAGUUGUAUUUGCAAUUUAUUUAUCUUUAUAAAAAUUCAUAAGAAUAUGUAGAAACAUAAGCGUGACAAAGAUAAAGAUAUGUUAGAAAAAUAGAUUAGCUUUUUCAGGAAGAAAAGGUUAGGCUUGUAUUAAGGCUUUGUAAUAUUUUUAGCCCAAUCUUACCAUCUAGUUAUAUUUUGGCUAUAUCAAUUUAAAAUUUUAUAUUCUUUUUGUUGUUGUUUGGAUCAGAGAAUAGACAUAAGCCUAUAGCAAGUCCUUUGAAGAUAUAAUCAAUGCAAGGAAGAGCAAGUUUAGUGUGACUAAAAGUGUAAGUAAAGAAAAUUGAACAUGCAAACAUUGAAAUGGAGGAAUAAAAUGUUAUCUUGAACUUUAAAUGAACUACAUAAGCUUCAUUGAGCAAAAAUGACCAAAAAAUAUUAACUUGCUGGUAAAAAUCUUACAUGGUUAAUAAACGUCUAACUAAAAAAGCAAGCCAAAGAUUGAUCCAGUAAAAAUGUAAUAAAAAUUCAAUAAUAUAUAAUAAACUAAAGUAUGUGAUAAUGUUGCCAUAAGAAAAAUAUGAAACUUAGUGAUGAUAAAAAUUAAAUCUAGUGCACAUGGUAUUAUUGUGGUAUGACCAAGUACCUACACUAAACAUAGUGUGCAGAAGCAGGUGGCAGUGUAUGCUUGUCUAUAUUUAAGAUGUUACAUUUUAGUUAAGCAUACAUUGAAUCAUAAAUGUAUUAGAAAUGCACAAUUCACAUGGUAUUGUUGUGGUACUUCAAAUGUAUGUGUGUCCAUAUGUAGAGACUUAAGUGAGUAUUAAGAAUAAGUAGACAAUAAUUAGAGAUGACGUACCUUUUUAAAUUUCUAGCAUGGGAUUAAUAUCAAUUUGUUUCAACAUAGCCCAUGCGUGCCGAAAGUAACAACAAUGACAUUAGUAAUUAAAUUUAUAGAAAAAAUUCAUAAAAGAAAGAAGAGGUACAUUGACGUAUUUUGAAGGCCUUUUAUAUGAAGCAAUCUGCAUAAUAAAAAUGUAUAAAUUAUGAUUAUUUCCUUAUAAAAUGGAAUUAGAACAUCUUUCUAAAAAGAUUGGAGGCUAAACAUCUUUCUGUAUCACUUAGUCCAUGAUGAUGAUAACCUAAAAUGAUAUACUUGAUCCAAUUUUAAAAAUAUUUAGAAAAUCUACUAACUUGGGUAAUAUAACAUGUUUAUCUUGGCAAACAUACAACUUUUUCUAGCCAUAUAAUCAAUCCUCUCAAAUACUAGUAGUAAUAUUAUUUUCAUAUAAGAUAAUUGUACCUAUAAAUAAGUAAAAGCCCAUGUAAAUUUCUCUAUGUGGCACUAAUAAUAACAUAAUAUCUUGGAGCAACUUCUUGAUUUAAUGAACUAGAAAUCUUUCACAAUUUGUGCCUUGAGUAUUAACAAAAUCAGCUCUUGCAGAAUCUCAUGCUGAAAAACAAUUAAACUGAAUACAGGACAUAGUUAAGUUUCUCAAAAUAGCAAAUAUGCAUAUUAUAAUACUAUUAAUCAAAGGUAGAACAUAUGCAAACAUAGUAUACUCCAUCCUGUGAUGAUAUCUUAGCCUCCUCUCAAGUUUAGUAUAGACCUUUACUAAAGUCACUUACAUGCAGCAUUCACUUAAAAAUGAGUGUGAUGCUGAAGUGAAUAUAAUGUGAGAAUAACAAUAUUUUUUUAUGAAUGUCUAGUGAAUAUAAACUUAUAAAUCCAAGAAAAUUUACUCUAUAUUAAUUUAAAUAGUGUAAAUGAUAGAUAUGAUCGAGAUGUAUAGUAGUUCAAAUAAUUCAGAAGUUAUACUAAAAUUAUUGGAAAAUUGCUUAACUUACCAAAUAAGCUUGAUGAGAUAAUGACAUACUAAACAUGCAUGGAAAACUAAGUUUCAUUGAGUAAAAUUACACAUCAUAAGGGCUCAUAGAAAUACAGUAAAUAAAGUACAAUAACUUAGAUAGUGAAAAUUUAUGCUUAACUAAAAUGAUAUACUUCUCAUGUUAGAGAUUUAAGUUAUGCAUACAUUGUUGAAUCAUGCAAUUUACCUAGUUGAAUUAGUGACUUGGAUUUGAUAAUUUGCAAGAGCAUAUUCGGAAGUUACAUAUUCGCAGGUGUCCGUUCGGAUGACUAUUUUUAGCGGGCCGGACUGAGGAUUUUAGCCCAAAAACUCAUAUUCAGCCCGUUUUUCAGACAGGCCAAGACGGGCCGGGCCGGGCUGGCCCGACGGGCCAUUGUUAAAAAAUAAAAAAACUAAAGUGUGUGACACUGUGCUGUGCAAGGGACGUGUCAACUGGUUUCUUCUUUAGAAUUUACAAGUUUUAAGCUAAGAUAUUAUGUUGUUAUUGUAAUAUUGUAGACUUAUGUUUGUGAUUUUUUGUUUUAAAAGACAUCUAUCAAGUUUGUUGAUUAUUUUUUGUCUAAAAGUUUUAAUUAUGUACAUUUUGGAGGGAAGACGGGCCAGCCCGUCAACCUGCCAGCCCUGCAAAAUAUGGGUUGGGCUGGCAUUUUGAGCCCUUUUAACAAUACGAGUCGGGUCGGGCCAGCCCUUAUUUUGGCGGGCCAAUGGCGGGCUGGGCCGAGCCGACCCACAUUGUCACCCCUAUUCUUGGUGCAUGAGGAUCUUCCUCCAGUCCCAUUGUUCCUCCAAAUUAACUUUAUCAUGCACUUUCUUAUCAUGCUUUGACCAAAUCUAGUUGUUGUGUGCUUGGAUUGUGAUGAGGUUAUUCCACCAUAACUAUUGCUCCUCCAAAAUUUGCUCCAUGCCUUCCGAAAAUUUUAAUUUGCUUAAAAAAUGUUAUCUUUUUCCAUGAAAAUGUUAUCUUUUUAGUAAACAUUGAACUCAAAAAGCAACAAAUAAGUUUUAUCCACUGAAACUGCUAUUAAUAACACCAAAAUACAUGUAUACCUAAGAUAACACCAAAAAUGUUAUCUUGAGCUAAAAAAAUAGUAAAUAAGCUUCAUGGAGUAAAAAUACCCAAAAAUGUUCACUUUUUCCAUAAAAAUAUUAUGUUUUUAGUAAACAGUAAACUAAAAAAGGAACAAAUAAGUUUGAUCCACUAAAAAUGUUAUUAAUAACACAAAAAUAACAUGCAUACCUAAGAUAACACCAAAUUUGUUAUCUUGAAGUAAAAAACAAUAAAUAAGCUUCAUGGAGCAAAAAUAUCCAAAAAAUGUUAACUUUUUCCACAAAAAUAUUAUCUUUUUAGUAAAUGAGAUAAUGUGAUGAUAAAGAAAGUUCAGUGUAUGAGAUAAUGUACAUAUAAGAAGUUGCAAAAAAAAAUCAUACUUCUGAAUGUGUAUCCAUUGAUAGAUUUAACGCAGAAAGAUAUUGUGCUUGGGAUGAAGGAGGAAGAAAGGAGUUUGAGGAAGAUAAAAAAUAAAGAGAGAAACCGGCAUGAGAAUGAAUGGAAAAGAAUAAGGAGUACUUUGCCUACUCAUAAAAGCCACUAAAUGUCAAACUCAUAAAAGCAACUUUACCAACUAUGGGUGAGUUUCAAAUUUUGAAUUUGAAAACGAAUGAAAAAAGCUACUUCAUGUGUAGAGGGAUAACUUUAUCGCCUCAAAAAAUAAAAACCAACUAUAUGCUCAAACUCAUUAACAUAAUAACAUAGAGGUAUAAUAAAUGACCAAGAAAAGAGUGCAAUGAUAAAUUUAACCCUUAAAACUUUAAGUAUCCAUCAUAUAAAAUGUAUAUUUUAGUAAUACCAUAAGCUCAUUGCAUUCUUAUAUAGAGAUAGUAGAAGAUAGUAGAUUCUUACCGUGUUAUGACCACCUUUUUUCUUUAUUUAUUUAUUAUGCGCAUGAGAGGAAGAGGUAAAAAAAAUGUAAAGAUGGUGCUUUUUUUGUCCUUUUCGUGGAUAAAAUUAUGUAAUGUAGUUUAGUGGAUAACGAAAUGUAAGAGUUUGUUUGAUUACUUGAAUUAUUUUUUAUUUAGCACUUGGGCAAAAUGAAAAAUUAUAUAUUUCUAUUUCUUAAUAUUAUAUUUUGUGUGGAUAUAGAAGUCAUUAAAAGUACAAUUAAUUCAAGUGUAUCAAAGAGACUAACUAUAUGAAGAGGAAAGAAAUGAAUGUUAUGAAAAUUUAAAUUUUUUAUAUAAUGUCAGUGCAUCAUACAUUAUUCAUACAUAAUCAUUAUUAACUCUAUAAUAAUGAUAUAAUAAAUGAUAUAUGAUAUAUUGUCUGUUUAUAAAUUUAUUCACUAAUAAUACAUAAAUAUUACACUAUAGAACUUUUACAACAAUGUAUGCACCAUUACUAUACCUUAAAGUUAAAUGAAGGUAAACUCUUAACCUCUAUGUUAACGGUAUAUUAUUUUGCUCACUAAUAGUUUUACUAAUCAUUAUUUUCAUUAAUAAAUUAUUAUAUGACCUGAGAUUAAUAAUAUUAAUACAAAUAAAUUACCUAAACUUACAAGUACAACCAAUGUACAAUAAUUUCUCAUUUUUAUAAUGGAUUGUUUGUUGAAUGAGUUUUUUAGGGUUGUUGAAUAGAUGAAGAGUAUACUUUAAAUUUUCUAUUGAAUUUACAACAUAAUUAAACCAAUUUGCCAUAUAUGAUUAAACCAAUUUCUCACACAACUAUGAUAGAUGGGUUGGGUGAGAAGUUGGUGGAAUUGAUGCAGACGCUAUAAUGUUUGACUAGGUAACAAUUGGAUGUUAAUUUGUUCUAAAAUUCUAAGCUUCUUUUAAAAUCUAAGAAUAUCAUUAAUUCGAACAUUGACUAUCUGUAAUAAAAAUUUCGAUUUUCUUCUCUGCUAAACUAAUAAAUUAUCAACAACGUGUAUGUUAUUCAUAAUAGUAGAUUUUGACUUCUGUGGUUUUGUCCAAUUGAUUCUUUAGGUCGUAAGCUUAUAUUAAAUAAAAGCAUUUAGUUACUUCUCAUAUUUUUGCAGCCUAUGAGCAUGGUCCUACCAGGUGUCGUUGAGUUUAAACUAUUAGGAAAACUACAAGAUGGUGUGACAGCUACUGACUUAGUGUUGACUGUUACUCAAAUACUUAGAAAGCAUGGGGAGUUAGUAGAGUUUUAUGGUAAAUUCUAUUUUAUGCAAUGUUAUCUUUUUACCAUCACUUGCCAAGAUGAUUAAUGUUUGCUUAUUUAAUUGGUUUUUUUACCUCACUUAAGCUCUAGUAUGUAAUUUUAACUUUUAACCGAAUGAGAGUUUGAUAUCUUUGAAUAGGAAAAUUUUGGUAUGACUGUGUUAAACUCGGUUAAAUCGGAAGAAACUGAGAAGUAAAUCAGACGAUUUACUUAAAAUUAAAAAAUGGGACACUGUUCUAAUCUUUUUAUUUUACUCCAAUCCAAUAAAACAUUGAGAGAUAUUAUUUCAAUAUAAUUAUUAAUUAUAUAAAAUUUUAUAUUUAUAUAUAAGUAUAUAUUUAUUGAUACAAAAUAUUAAUUAUAUAUGAAAUUGUCUGAUCCAAUCAGAUGAUUUAACCAUUUAAAUCGGUUAAACUUUAUACGAUACUUUUUCCGGUUUAGCAUCCGACUCGAGUUUCAAAAUAUUGCUUUAUACAUUAAGAUGAGGAUUACUUCUAUGUCUUCCUAUGCUUUUUAUGCCUUUCACCCGAAUCCUUUCCACAUUACCAUCUUCAAAUUCCAAAUAUCAGUAUAACAUUAAUAUUGCUAACCGUUAACCACAUUUAAAUCCACAACAAAAUAAAAAAAUUCAAUCAAAAUUGUAUAUAUUUAGCUUUUAUUGAUGAGAAAAACCAAAAUAUUAAAUUGAUUCUUGCAGCAACAACAACAUAUCAUUGUCUCAUAACAAUACCAAUUCCUUGUUUUCUUGCAUGAGAAAUUCUUUGUUUUCAUAUAUAUAAUUCUUUGAUGAAUCUUAAAUGAGAAGAAAUAUAAGGGGAAGCCGUCAAGAGAAAUAAUUAUACUUUCAUAUCAUAUUAAAGUUUGGUGGAGUCAUGAAAGAGACUUUUUGAUGAAUCAAGAUGUCUAGAAAGAAAUGCAUGAAUAGGGACGGCAAAAAAAACCGUACCCGUGGGUACCCGCAGGUAAAAUGCGUACGGGCACGGGUAUGGGUCACAAAUGGGUACCCGUUGAUAUUAUAAACGUGUUUUUAAAAAUACCCGUAGUACAUACAGGAGGGUACGGGUAUUAUGGUACUCGUACCCGCGGGUACCCGUCACUUAUAUGAUUAAUAUAUUAUAUUUAUUUAAAAUAAAAAAUACAUUAUUCUAACAUUUAUUACACUAUGUAUAUUUUUUCCUUUUACUUUGUUUACAUAUUUUAUUGAGUUUGGUGGUGAAAUAUUCUACAAAUAUUAUUACAAGUGUAGAAACACACAUGUUUUACAAAGAAAAUAUAUAUUUUUUGUUAAAGAAAUGAGAACAAAAAAUUACACAAAUAGAAAACACCAAUAAAUUUAGCAUUUUGCCAAAUAUUUAAUCAAAAUGUACAAAAAUAAUUAAGUUUCAUCUUAUUUGAAACACAAUAGAAGUAAAAAUUUAAAAAUUUAUUUAUAAUAGAAGAAACUCGCGGGUACCCAUUUGUACCCUUGAGUACCCAGAAAUAACCGCGAAUACCCACAUACAGGUAUCCAUACGAGUACAGGCGGGUAUUAGUAUUACUAUUCUAUUUUGAAACGGGUAGUGGGUAGCUACUACCCAUGUCCGUUGCCAUCCCUAUGCAUGAAUGAGAAAUAAAAAGAAGAAGAAAUAAUAAAAUUUUCAUUAUUUCUCAUUGAAUUGAUUACAAAUAUUAGAUCCCUUUAUAUACAACUACUAAAAUAGAAAACAAAAAUUGUUAACCAGAUAAUUGAUUAACUCUGUUAAUUAAUUGAUUAGUGCACACAAAAUUCACCUAAACAAAUUGAAACAACAAACUAGUUAAUCGAUUAACUACAAUGUUAAUCGAUCAACUCUUACAAAAUCUCACAUAUUCUAUAACAUAAAAAUGAGGUUUUAUAUCAAAAAUUGUUACAUUAUUAAAAUUACAAAUUAUUUUAUAUUCAUGUAAAUAUAAAAAUAAUUGUAUUAAACACACCUAUAAUCACUUACAAACCUCUAAACCACAAAAUAUCUUCUUUUUUGUUUUAAAAAAAAAACUUAAAAGAAAAAGAAAUCUAUGCCAUGAUGUUAACUCAAGCUAAACCAAUUUUUAAACAUUUAUAAAAUAGAAAAUAUCAUGUUGAUAAGUUGAUGUGAGAUUAAAAUUUCAGGACAAGUUUAAAAAGCAACAAUGUGAAUAUUCAAAUUUAAUUCAUGUAAGGUAAAAACAACAUUUAACAAAUGAGUGCUAUACUUAUUUUUAAUUCACCACCAUUUUGAGAAUACAAACUAAAUGAGUUAGAGAGUCCAUUUUAUAAUAUUAAUUUUUUUUAUUUUUAUUUUUAGAUUUGUUGAGUAUAUACAUAGUAACAUACAAGUUGGCAUCUAACAUAAUAUGGGAUAUUGACAUGACAUCUAAUUCACAAAUAUAUUGAAUGAAUUUAUUAUAAUAUGAUAUGUAUAAUUAAUUAGUCAAUAAUACUGACCUGACAUGUAAGUUGAAAACUCCAAUAUAAACAAAUAAUAGAAUUAAAAAAUAUAGAAAUUAAUAUUAAGAUUGGUUACUAUUUAUAUUUUAAAAUAAAUAAUAUCAUCAUAAAUAUAUUAUCAUGGUAUGUCAAAGUUAAAUGACUUAAUUAUAUAUGUUUUGACAUAUUUAAUUAUAAGGAAAAAGUAUAUUAACAAAAUGUAGAACAUCAAAAGAAAAUAAUAAACUUGAUUGGAAAUUACAAAAAGGAUAAUAUUCGUAUUUAAGAUUGUUUUAACUAAAGGGAGCUACUACUUUAACAUCAUUGUAUAUAGACUCUUCACUUGAGGCCCAUUCAACGAGGCCCAUUUAAUAUAGGCCCAAUCAAUAAAGGCCCAAUCAAUAAAGGCCCAAUCAAUAGAGGCCCAAUGUUGAGUCAACUUCACGUUUGAACGUUGCCCCUUUUUCCUUUAUAAAUACCAUUCUCGUUCUCCGUUUAAUAGAGACUCAAUAGACUUUGCGAUGAUUCGUAGGAUGAUAUUGGAAUGUUAUAUCUUUUUUGUUUAUUUCUGGUCGUAACUGUCGUCUCUUUCAUUUAUAGUGAGAAAGCAAAGUGAAAGUUAUUUCUUUUGUGUUUAUUUCUUCCUCAAUGGUUGAAGCUCUAAACAGUAAGAAAGAAGAAACAAAAUUGAUUUCUUUACUCAUUUAUCACUUACACAUCUCGUUUUCUAAUCUCUGUCUUUCUUUAUAACUGAACAUUUCUGCAAUGUCUGAAAAAUUUGUAUUUCUUGAGCUUACAAACACUGUCCCAAAACCUAAAAGUAUGUUAUGACAUCAAAUUCUUUCAUUCGUGGUGGUAAUGAGAUUUUCCUAAUCUCAAUCUCGAUUAUUCAAGAAUUCUUGAUCUCGUUGAACCAUAAUUUUAAUUGGCUUUAAAAACCCAAGAGUUUGAUUUGGGCUAUAAGAAAGCUGCAUAGUGCUUGCAAGAUGAAUUCUAGUUGCCUAAAACAGAUCAUAAUGAUCAAGAACAUCAAGAAGAAGAAAAAGAAGCAGUGAAAGAGUUAAUUCACAAAACCAAAACGAUUCUGUUAGUGUUGGUUGUGGUUAUUCUGUUACUUUUGCCUUACAUUUUUGCAUCCUUUUUAAUUUUGCCAAUCAGUCAAAGUAAUUUUUGUCUUUUGAUAUUGCAAAUCUUGUCAUUUAAACAAUAUCACAUGCAUUAACACAAAAUAUUUUGGCUCAACUCCUCAUAUUUGAGGUUGUUGUGCGAAAGAAAUAAGAGCAAAGAGUCAUGAUGUGCUCUAUUUGUUCCCAACACGUAUCACUUUUUAAAGCUGGUGUUUUUGUUUUCUUUUGUUUAUAAAAUAUGUCAAAUAUAUAAGUAACUCAUGUUUUAUUUUGUCCGGUUAUGACACUUCUAUCAAAUGCGACCAUAUUAAUGCAGAUUAGAGUCUAACUCCAAAUAUUUGGGGUUGGUGUUACAAAAUAAAACUUAUCAGAAUCCUCAUUAUCAAUUUUCUCUCACAUUGAUUACUACCCAACAUGCUAUACCAUCAAUCCUAUGCUGUAUCUGUUUCCCCAUUGUUCAUUAUUUCUCAACAUGAUUCUUCAUUACCUUGCCUUAUCUCAUAAUCACUGAACUGAUUAUGAUGCUUUUUCAAAUAAAAAUCAUAAACUCCACUAAGAGGAAAUUAUCUUAGCAUGCAAAACUCUUGAAUCACUCUCUUUUUCCAUAAUUUUUUAGUAUGAAAAUGCUAGUUCUGAAAGUUUUACGGAUUUCAGAGCAACUGACAUUUUGAAUCUUAAAUACAUGAUGGAUGCCAUAAUGUCUUGCUUAGCUUGUGUAUAUUGACCGUUGUUGAUUAUAUACUGCAUUGCUUUUGCUGCAGGUAACGUUCUUCUAUUACGAAAUAACUUAAGUUUGAGUUCAGAUAUUGCUGAAGUUUCUCAGGAGAAAUUGCUUUCAUUGGUUGCUGAAAAAACAUCCUGUCUCUUUGUCCGAGAGCUGUGCAGAUGUCUCUGGAAAGGGUGAAAAAAUUCACGACCAAUCCACUCUCACAACUAGCGACCAUGAAGUUGUAGAUGACUCUCAAGGAUUUAUACAUAAUGCAGAUUCAGAUUUGUUUGGUGUCAGAUUUCAUCAGACUGAUGUCUCUGACGCAUUGCCUUCAAGUGUUAAUGGUAGUGAGCCCGUAUAUGAAAGAGAGGAAUGUGUAUUGGAUACAAGCUGUCUAUGAAGGUGAGGUGGUGCUUGCAGAACAAGCUGACAAAAGCACCUUAGCUGCCCAUCAAGGUCUGUGUUUCUAUUUGUUAAAUAACUGAAUUUGUUAUCAUCAAAUAUCACUUUUUAGACAACUAUGCAUUGUUAUCUUCAAUGGAAGACAUUUUUCCAUUUUAUGGCAUUAUAGGGGAAUUGAUAAAGACUUUCUUGAGGAAUAAUGCUAGCCAGUUGACAUUUUACGGGUAUGUUGACCUCUUGUUGGUCUAAAUAUCUUGGUUCAUUCUUGAACUAUUUUCUUUGACCCCUAUAUUUUGCUUCAUUGAUUAUGGGGAAAUUUCUCUUCACAAGUUAUAAACAGUGCUUUUGCAGCCUUUUCUGUUUACAAGAUGGGCUUAAAGAGCGUGAUAUAUAUGUUUUUUUCCGGAACAAUCAUUUCAGCACCAUGUUUAAAGUUUGGAUAAAGCUUUUGAAGAUAUUAUUUUCGUUGUUCCCUUGGAUUACUGAUAUGAGAUGCCAAUAGCACUUUCUUAUAAAUUGAGAAAAAAUUGUUACCUUUCUCUGUUGCGGUGUUUUACUUUUCAAUCAUAAAAUUAUUUAUCUUUUUUUCACAGUUUGAUGGUGCGCUGUAUCUUCUAGCUACAGACCAAGGUUACAUAAAUGAGCCUGAUGUAGAAUGGGAAAAAUUGAAUGAGGUAAACCACUUUCUUUAUGGUCUUUUUGCAUCCAGGUCAUCUUGAAAUGUUAUUGUUUUUCCAUUUUUAUUUCAAUGCUAGUAUAGGUCGGAAUUAUUUUUUCUGAGUUUAUACAGUUGUGGAUAUUCUCAAAUCAUCCUGAAAACGGGGAAAUUGCAUGCUUGUUGAAUUGGUCACUUAAGAACAAGUCAUACUCACAGCUUUUUAGGCUCUCGAAUUGAAUCUGGAUGAAUGAUUCGUUAGUGUCUUUUUACUAUUUCAUUUUCAAUCUUAAAUUUGUGAUGAUGGGGUAUCUUUCCUUCAUUAUUCUGACUGAGUAACUGCAAGGUUUAUAUCUGAUAUCUCAGCCACUCAGAGAUUCGUAUGUUCUUCCAAGUCCCCCCUUGUCUAAGUCCAAGUGAUUAAAAAACAAGCAUCUCAAUAUUAUGUAAUAUUAAAUUGCAGAAAUUAUGUUAUGAGCUUUUCUUUCAGGUUAAUGGUGAUACACUGUUUAUGACCAGUAACUUCAAGGAAUUCAAGGUAGAAGAAAGCCAUGAAAGUAACACCUGGGAUGAGAAUAAUGCUAUGACCAGUACCGAGGUAUGUAUAUUCUUUUAAAAGUGAAACAUCUAAUUUUGCAAACCAAACAGCAACCAACCUUUUAUGCCACAUGUUUCAAUUGAUAUGAAGACAACUUCACAUGUUUCAGGACUAUCUUUCCAGCAUAGAUAGUGCAUCGCUGGCAGGCUUAGAUAUCAAGUAAUUUUCUGAACUUGCUGGUGGCACAUAUGUCAUGGUUUUUAAUUUCUUCCUCCCCUUCUCCAAAAAAUGAAAUAAAAUCUAGUACAUAAGUAUCUAGAAUAUACAACAACCAACAACAACUAAGCUUUUAUCCCUGAUAUUCGAUAUUUUUUUAUCUGUACCAAAUAUCAGCUAUUUUAUACGAAACCAUGUUGCUUUGGCUAUACCUGAUAUUCGAUAGUUGAAACUUUUAAGAAUUUGAUUCUAUUGUUUCAUUUUCUUUAUUAUCUUUAUUUCUUUUCAUCUCAUUCCGACACAACCAAUUUGUAUUGUCACCUAUUACAACCAGUUCUCUCGUCUUCUGGAUUUAUCGUAUUCAAUUUAUCUCUUACUUAUCAACAUUGAGGCAUUAAACUUUUGUCUUUGUUAGUGCUGGUUGUCACCUAUUGUUUCAUUUGCGUUGCAUUUUUGUUUCUUUUUUAAUUGUGCCAAUCAGGCCAAGUAAUUUUUUAUAUUGCAAAUCUUGUCAUUGAAACAAUAUCACAUACAUUAACACAAAAUCGUGCUCAACUCCUGAUAUUCGGGGUUGGUGUUACAAAAUAUGGCAUAUACCUAGCCUCUUGGUUUGCGAAAGAAAAAAGAGCAAACAGUCAUGAUGUCUACUAUUUGUUCCUAGAAUAUAUCAAAUAUAUAAGUAACUCAUGUUUUAUUUUGUCCAGUUAUGACACGUCUAUCAAAUGCGACCAUAUUAAUGCAGAUUAUAGUCUAACUCCGAAUAUUUGGAGUAAUACUUAUCAGAAUCCUUAUAUCAAUUUUCUCUCAGAUUGAUUACUACCCAACAUGCUAUACCGUUACUCCUGUCCUAUGGAGUAUCUGUUUCCCCAUUGUUCAUUAUUUCUCAACAUGAUUCUUCAGUACCUUACCUUAUCUCAUAAUUGCAGAACAGAUUAUGGUGUUUUUUCAACAACAAAAAAAUAGUAAACUUCAUGAAGAGGAAAUUAUCUGAGCAUGCAAAACUCCUGAAUCACCCUCCUUUCCCUUACUUUGUUAUUAUGAAAAUUCUAGUUCCGAAAUAUUUACAGAUUUCAGAGCAACUGACAUUUUGAAUCUUAAAUACAUGAUGGAUGGCAUACUGUAUUGCUUAGUUUGUGUAUAUUGUCGGUUGUUGUUUAUAUUUUGCAUUGCUGCAGGUAACGUUCUUCUAUUACGAAACAACUUAAAUUUGAGUCCAGAUAUUGCUGAAGUUUCUCAGGAGAAAUUGCUUUCAUUGGUUGCUGAAAGACUACUUGAUUCCAAUGCUAAUUUGAAUGUAAGAGUUGCAUGUCUUUUAUUGUUUGUGACAAUCACUCUUACAUAAUGCAAGCAUACCUGACAAUUUAUUCUUAUGGUCUUGCAGAACAAAGAUGUUGGCUAUGUUGAAAAUCAACAACAGAACAUCGCUGAUGCAAUCGAUUUGCUCCCCAGGCUUGCUACUGGCAUUGAUGUAAACUUAAAAUUUAGGAGGUCAGUUUUACUAUUUAUAUGAUAGAUAUGUGCAUUUACUAUCACCGAUGUUUAAGUUCUGAUAAAAAAUGCAUAUUGAUUGCAGAAUAGAUUAUUUUUAGUUCACUCGAGAGUGUGCCAUAUUUGAUCCUCAGGUAUUUUGGUUACCCUCUAUCCAAAUCAAUUGGUGCUGCAUUAUCAUAUGACUGUAAUGAUAUUAUUUCUAUACUGUGGUUCUAAAUACAUUCUAUUAAGAUCAUUUCAUUUUGUUCUACUCAUUAAUUGAUAAUACUUGGUGUAUAAUUUUGUGUGUGCUUAUAUUAUUGAUUAUUUCAGGAUCUCGUUAGGUUAUUUAAAUUUCUUUUGGCAUAACUAUGGUAGAACUAACCUCUAUUAGAAUACUAUAUGAAUUACGGGAACGAAAGAUCUAGAGGAUUUUUUCUUGCCAGAUAUCAAUGAAGUUCUAAUUCUCCCAUGAAAGAGUUGCUAUAUGUAAACCCAAAUACAUCAUAGUUUUGCUCAUCAAUGUUAAUUUUAGUCUAAGGAUAUUCCUUUGUUUUCGGUAAAUGCAAGAUUUUCCGCCCACUAAUUACUUUGUUAUCUUCAAAAUGAUACUGACCCCCUCCCACUUCAUGCAAAAUGAUAAAUUUGCUGAGUGAUCAUCCUUGAAUAAUGCUAAUCAAAAUUUUGGCUGUAUGUUUUUCUUAUAUGAUGUGUGUUUUUCUUAUGUCUGAAUAAAAGGUGAAUGUUGUGACUGGGAAUGGGACCUGAAGAGUCUCUUGGCCAGAAUGAUGUGACUGAGAAUGUCAGUCAUGAUGCAUUGAUUCAGAAUGAGAGUGCACCUCUACUUUCUCCUGAAAAUCAUUCCGUCUCUUUCUCCGAGAGCUGUACAAAUGUCUCUAGAAGGGGUGGAAAAUUUAUUGAUCAAUCCACUCUCACAACUAGCAACCAUGAUGUUGUAGAUGAUUCUCAAGGAUCCAUACACUAUACAGAUUCAGUUUUGUUUGGUGUCAGAUUUCAUCAGACUGAUGUCUCUGAUGCAUUGCCUUCAAGUUUUAAUGGUAGUGAGCCCGUAUAUGAAAGAGACAAAAUUUUGUGGAUCCUGAACCUGUCUAUGAUGGUGAGGUGGUGAUUGCAGAACAAGCUUGAUAAAAGCACCUUAGCUGCCUCUGAUCUUUAGAGCUGAUGGUGAAAUUACUCCACAUCAAGGUCUGUGUCUUAUUUGUUAAAUAACUGAAUUUAUUAUCAUCAAAAUAUCACUUUUUAGACAACUAUGCAUUGUUAUCUUCAAUGGAAGACAUUUUUCCUUUUUAUGGCCUUAUAGGGGUCAAUCAAGACUUUCUUGAGGAAGAAUGCUAGCGAGUUGACAUUUUACGGGUAUGUUGACCUCUUGUUGGUCUACAUAUCUUGAUUCUUGAACUAUUCUUUGACCCCUAUAUUUUGCUUCAUUGGUUAUGGGGAAAUUUCUCUUCACACGUUAUAAAUUGUAAAUGCUUUUGCAGCCUUUUCUGUUUACAAGAUGGGCUUAAAGAGCGUGAGAUAUGUGUUUUUACCGGAACAAUCAUUUCAGCACCAAUAGCACUUUUUUAUAAAUUUAGAAAAAUUGGUUGGCUUUCUCUGUUGCAGGUGUUUUACUUUUCAUUCAUAAAAUUAUUUCUCUUUUUUCACAGUUUGAGGGUGCACGCUGUAUCUUCUAGCUACAAGUAUUAGGAUGCAGAACACAAAUAAUUUGCAGAAUGUAUUGGAGGAACGUAGUUCAGUUUUGAAUUUGACUAGGUCGAAGUCUCUUUAACAAUGACCUAAGUUCUUAGCUACACAAAACUUGAUGUUUAGGUCUGUGUCAUUUAUGAUUCAAGUUUUUUUUUCCUUGCUGAUCCAUAAUUUGUUUCAUGUAGCUAAUGCUAUGCUUGGAUCACGAUCAUGGAAUGGAGGACUCUUUAACCGUACAAAUACUAGACAAUCAUCAUCUGGAAAGUUUGUUGACUAUCCUUUGAGUCCUGUUGAGGUAAAGGAAAAAUGGAAGUUGGUGAUUUUUUAUAGAUAUUAUAAACUCUUACCUUCUUUUCUUAUAGAUAUUAAAAACAGGUAUUGUGUCAUGGUAUGUUUGUUUUUCCUUAUGCCAGACAAUAGUUGAAAAGACUUAUCAUUUGUUUCAAGCAGUGCAGCUAUUUAAUUAUAGUAAUUAAUAGGAAACCAUAAUCUGCAAUUAUGUCAGGAAAGAAACUUCAAAGGCUUCAAGAACAGCUGCAAGUACCUUAUGAUGAGACUAGCUCUGAUCAUCAAGUACUUAUUUUUUCAUGCACCUAUCUAGCUUUCUUCUUUAUUUAAUUUCUCUGAAUUCUUUCUCAGGAUGCGUUUGGAAAAUUCAAGCUUCAUUUCUGGUUCAUUUUUGGGUUUCAUUG